RNAcentral lists this long non-coding RNA (664 nucleotides) under Malus domestica (apple). Its description in RNAcentral is "long non-coding RNA (MDOM_LNC019785)". Lineage: Eukaryota; Viridiplantae; Streptophyta; Magnoliopsida; Rosales; Rosaceae. The record is from RNAcentral.
UGCAUAAUGCAAGUGAUCAGUCUAGAAGAUGUGUUGAGAGACAAACAGUUUCCUCAAUUCCUCAAAUGAGUCUACUGUCUCAAGUGGAAGACGGCAAUACCAGUUUAGAGCUCCGCCAGAGAGGGUGGAGGGGAAGAGAAGACAUCAUUCUUCGUCGGUGUGUAUCCGAUAUGCCAUGGUGGACUCAAAGAGGUUAAAGUGUUCAAUUGGGUCUUCCCUUCCAGUAUAGAGUUGUAAACCAAGCUUUUGUUUUAUCUUCACUUGAAGGAGGGUGUCGAGGAUCCUUCUUGUGAGAGGGCCAGGCCUGGGUUGGUUCCAGUCAGGUAUCUCGGCCUGACGUUCGGCCUUCAACUUGUUUACUUCCUCAAAGAGCUGUAGGACAAGGGGGUCCUGAGUUGAGUCAUGUACCACUAGAAUUUUCUUUCGUAAGUCUCCAUCACCUCUUGGAAGUAGGAAAGUUUGAGCAAGGGCAUGCGGGUUUUUCUUGUACUCGCCGUAUUGACUUCUAGGGCGAGUCUGUCAGAAUACCUCAGAGUCCCCCGUACCUUCAUGUUCUUCUGGGACCUGUCGUUCCUUCCCUAGAUUGACAGCUAGCCUGGGUCGUGAGAAGGGACCGAGUCUUUCAGAAACUCUUAGGUUAUUGAUCUUCGAGAAUAUGUGGAGG